This 1089-nucleotide long non-coding RNA is filed under the name Oreochromis niloticus (Nile tilapia). Its description in RNAcentral is "lncRNA (ENSONIG00000038189.1)". The record is from RNAcentral. Lineage: Eukaryota; Metazoa; Chordata; Actinopteri; Cichliformes; Cichlidae.
AUGACUGAGGCCAACCAGACAGUGACUGAUGGAAACAGGACAGACUGGAUGAUGCCAUUUCUCCAGACUGCACAGGGUUAUAUCUUUGGAUUAGUUAUGACACUAAAAAUCUGGAAUAAAGUGAUUAAAAUAUGUGGUAGUGAACAAAUACUAAAAGUAUUUAGAUGGUGUGCUUAUGACACAGAUUUUAAACCAAAUGAAAGUGAUAAUAGAUUUCAGUCCUGGAUAGAGAGUGGAUUAACAACAUUCUAUUCCUUCACACAUAAAGGGACACUACAGAGCUUCCAGUCUUUACAAACAAGAAAUGGCUUAAGACAAGUAGACUUCUUCAGGUUUCUUCAAAUGAGGGAUUAUUUUAACAAACAUUGUAAUAUCCCAAACCCAAAUACGGUUGAGUCUGAAAUUUUUAAGGUGGUUAAAUUAGCAUACGAUAGUUCCCUGAGAAAGGCAAUCUCCAAACUAUAUAAUGUGCUUCUUCAAGCAAGGAAGGACACUACUCAAAAUGUCAAGAUUAAAUGGGAAUUGGAAUCGGGGAUGGGUAUAACAAAUGAGAAUUGGGAGAGGAUUUGUACAUUUCAUUGGUACUCAACAAGUUCUUUAUCUUGGAGAGACCAUUGUUGGAAGAACAUUAUUAGAUUUUUUAAAACCCCUCAUCAAAUUAAAUAUAAAAAUGGGACAGCUGAAUGCUGGAGAAGAUGUGGAUCAGAAGAAGCACAUCAUUAUCAUAUCUUUUGGGACUGCCCCAACUUAAAAAAUUACUGGCUGGGAAUUCACAAAACUUUGUGUGAGGUCUUUAAGAUAAAAUUUGACAUCAAUUUUGUAAAUUUGUAUUUGGGUUUGGUCGCUGGCUCGGUCCGGGGAGGGGAUACAAAACUUUUACAAGCGCUAUUAGCGGCCAGUAAAAAAUCAAUAACCAGAAAGUGGUUAAAUCCAACUCCGCCAACACUUGAUGAUUGGUUUAAUGCGGUCUUCGAAAUAUUUAAAAUGGAAAAAACGACAUUCUUUUUAAAAAUUCGAAAAGACAAAUUUUACAAAAUAUGGAAUAAAUGGAUUAGUUUUGUGUCCCCCAUCCGCCCUGAAUUUAGAUAA